GCCUGCGUAGCUCAGUCAGUUAAGCAUCUGACUCUUGAUUUUGGCUCAGGUCAUCAUCUCACGGUUGUGGGUUUGAGUCCCACCUCGGGCU
RNAcentral lists this transfer RNA (91 nucleotides) under Felis catus (domestic cat). It matches the Rfam family "tRNA". From Rfam's summary of the family: Transfer RNA (tRNA) molecules are approximately 80 nucleotides in length. Their secondary structure includes four short double-helical elements and three loops (D, anti-codon, and T loops). Further hydrogen bonds mediate the characteristic L-shaped molecular structure. tRNAs have two regions of fundamental functional importance: the anti-codon, which is responsible for specific mRNA codon recognition, and the 3' end, to which the tRNAs corresponding amino acid is attached (by aminoacyl-tRNA synthetases). tRNAs cope with the degeneracy of the genetic code in two manners: having more than one tRNA (with a specific anti-codon) for a particular amino acid; and 'wobble' base-pairing, i.e. permitting non-standard base-pairing at the 3rd anti-codon position. Lineage: Eukaryota; Metazoa; Chordata; Mammalia; Carnivora; Felidae. The record is from Rfam by way of RNAcentral. RNAcentral also lists the same sequence under 4 other names.